Molecule: long non-coding RNA, 3135 nt
Filed under: Homo sapiens (human)
Lineage: Eukaryota; Metazoa; Chordata; Mammalia; Primates; Hominidae
Description: HSALNT0309630
Source: RNAcentral
ACAGCCUCUGCAGCCACCCUGGGGGAGAGACAGCUCCAGCAGGACCUGCUAAGGUGAGGUGUUCUGGAAGGGUCUCUGCUCCUAGCAGUCACUGGCAGCUUGCCCAAAUUGGAGAAGUUUAACAUCUCUUUUCUCUGAGAAGUAAAAUGUGUUUCUUUGGUGGAUGUGAAACCAACAAACCACUGUGGUGCCUCUCUACAUCUGAAGGAUGAGCCAGCCAAGCCAGGGGAACUGACGACCCCACACACGUCUGCACUGCUGUGGCCGUGUUGAACACGGACUCCUUCUUCAGGGCAGCCUUGGGCCAUCGGAGGGCUGCUGUAUGCAGUGACGGCCACCAAGUGUCCUUGGCCAGGGGAGUGAUUUACAGGGACUGAGAUCCUGACUUGUGACCCAGACACGAAUGCAUCCUUGUUCCAUUUUGUUAUUGCUCAACCGUCAUCUGGCCAUCCCCAAAGCCCACCUCUGUGAGAAAGGCCAGUGCUUGUCCUCGUGACACCCCUGAGACCUCGAUGGAGCAAGUCCCAGGGCCCAUCAUACAUUUUUAAAGAAAAUCUUCUUUUGGUGAGAAGAUCAAAGGGCCAGGCAGAAAUGGAAAAGCACUUUCUGGCAUCAGACUUCCUCUGACUUCUCCGGUUGCCACACCACUGAAAGACUGCCCCACAGUGCGAGGGACGUCCACAUCUGCCUGGCUCUCCGAGGGAUGAACAGCCUUCAGUUCAGCUUCCUGUCACACCCCAAAAUCCACCAGGGCUCUGCAGUCAUAGAGCCCUGGAACCCAGAGGUGGAAACUUAAAGGAAUGAGUGCUCUCUCGCUCCAAAACCACAGAUAUCUGGUCCAUAGAGAACCCACCACACUUGUAUACAUUUUCAUACGUCUGCGCACAUACACAAAUGCACAAACACAUGUUCAGCUGUUGAUAAUCAUCUGAUCUUUUGCUCUUUCGAUGUAAAUAUGGCCAGAUAUCUCUGGCUUUAAUUCUCAUUAAAAUUUUGAAAGUUAUACUUUCUAUACAAUAUACAUCAUGGAUGUCCAAUCUUUUGGCUUCCCUGUGCCAGAUUGAAAGAAGAAGAAUUGUCUUGGGGCCUGGCGUGAUGGCUCAUGCCUAUUAAUUCCAACACUUUGGGAGGCGGAGGUGGGAGGAUCACCUGAGAUCAGGAGUUCACGACUAGCCUGGCCAACAUGGUGAAACCCCCCCAUCUCUACUAAAAAUAUAAAAAUUAGCGAAGCAUGGUGGCACAUGCCUGUAAUCCCAGCUAUGCAGGAGGCUGAGGCAGGGGAAUCACUUGAUCCCAGGAAGCAGAGGUUGCAGUGAGCCAAGAUUGCACCAUUGCAUUCCAGCCUGGGCAACAGAGUGAGACCCAGUCUCAAGAAAAAAAAAAAAGAAUUAUCUUGGGCCACACAUACACACAUAAAAUACACUAACACUAAUGAUAGCUAAUGAGCUAAAAAAAAUUUCAAGAAUAUCAUAAUGUUUUAAGAGUUUAUGAAUUUGUGUUGGGCCACAUUCAAAGUCAUUGUGGGCUGCAUGUGGCCCGAGGGCCGCAGGUUGGACAAGCUUGAUAUACAUAUUAUGUAUAUUAUAUAUUUCUGUGAAAACAGAAUAAAUCCAAGACUGAGGAUCUAAUUCCAAAAUUCAUUUUUGUAGGCAUUCUGAGACUUAACUAUUUUUCUAGUCACAUAAUAAGGAAAGGAUCCUUACAGAAAUACUGAAAGCUCUUGGUUCUGCCUUUGCUGAUGUUUUCUCUUUUCUCUAUUCCCUCUCCCUUCACACUCGUCCUCAUUCUACAGCCUCAAGCUUGUGUCAUUGUUCACAUCUGCUUCCCCAUCUCUGGAGUCUCUGUCAAGGCUCACCCUGGAUUUGAGGUAGGUUAAGUAGCCAAUGAGCCCAGCUGGUCCACAGACACCAAAAUUGUGUGUCCUGGAUGAAGUCAGCAUCUUUCCCUCGCCCUGUGCCUUUCUUGUCUGUUGGUUCCUAUUUCUGUUCCUACUCACAAUCUACCUCUGGGGAUAUCACCUGUCUUUGUUUUCCAGAGUCACCUCUGCCAGCCCAAAAGCUGCUGCUUCUAGAAAGUCACUACCAUUUCUAAAAAGUUCCUUGCAUCUGGUCCCCCCUCAUCACCAUCCCCAGCACCUCAUCAUUGCUGAACCACAGCCCAUAGCAAUCUCUUUAGUCAAGGUUGUGCUUCACCUUCCUUCUUUGAAUCAAUGCUCUUUGAAACAAUAUCCCUAGGAGUUACUUUCUUCGUGACCUCUUCCCUAGAGGACGGCCUCCUUGUCUGCCUGCGCCUGGCUUCCCUCCCACCCCUACCUUUUCCACCAUCAUAAUCACUGCCACUACCUCACUGAGAUCCUGGCGUGCAGCUCUAAUUUUAUCUCUGACCUGCAGAAGGUGUGUGAGAAUGGACUGAGAUGACCUGAGCACGGGUGAAAGGUCCGCAUCAAACCCAGAAAGUCAGCCGAGAUCCAGGGGCGGGUUCUCAUCCUACGGCCUCUCUACAUUCGUUUCUGAGACACAAAAGGACUUCACAGUGAAUGUUCAAGCAAAUUAGAGCACAAAAACAAAAGGGUUGUGGGCAAGCAACUGCGAAGACCACAGCUGUGUUUUGGUAAAUUCCCGGGCGAGGAGGAUAUGCCGGGUGAGUGAGGGAGGCCAGAGAGCGACAGAGUUCUUGGGUUAACUGGAAAAUUCAAUUAUCCAGAACCACAGUCCAUCAGCAAUCUGUUUAGUCAAGGUUUUGCUUCACCUUCCUUCUUUGAAUCAAUGCUCUUUGAAACAAUAUCCCCAGGAGUUAUUCGCUAUAGAGUAGAAGCACAGAUUUUGUCUAUUUAGCAAAAUAGGAGACGAAAUGGAAUGCUGCUGGGCUAAUUGCUUUGCAAGGAAGAAGAGAGGCAAUACUUCAGCACUUUAACCAGAUUCCCUACUUUUGCUUUUUCCAUUUGAUCAAUUUACAUGUGUACUGCAAGAAAUUGUGUUAUAAGAAAGCUGAGCCAUUCUGGUGUUCACUAAGGAAUGUAGCUUUGAUUAGUCCUUGUGUUAAAACAAACAUAAAGUGUACGGGCUGCCACAGAAAUACUUAAGUAGAAGGAGCUCUUUGUGGGACAGUAACAUUUCUGUCAGUUCCCAUGUCUGU